AUUACUUUGGCAGAAUAGUGCUUUGAAUUUAGAAUUCAAAUAUGUAAAGUUUACAAGUAAUA
Molecule: transfer RNA, 62 nt
Filed under: Neohermes filicornis
Lineage: Eukaryota; Metazoa; Arthropoda; Insecta; Megaloptera; Corydalidae
Description: tRNA-Leu
Source: RNAcentral